GGGUGCAAGCGUUAAUCGGAAUUACUGGGCGUAAAGCGCACGCAGGCGGUCUGUCAAGUCGGAUGUGAAAUCCCCGGGCUCAACCUGGGAACUGCAUUCGAAACUGGCAGGCUAGAGUCUUGUAGAGGGGGGUAGAAUUCCAGGUGUAGCGGUGAAAUGCGUAGAGAUCUGGAGGAAUACCGGUGGCGAAGGCGGCCCCCUGGACAAAGACUGACGCUCAGGUGCGAAAGCGUGGGGAGCAAACAGGAUUAGAUACCCUGGUAGUCCACGCCGUAAACGAUGUCGACUUGGAGGUUGUGCCCUUGAGGCGUGGCUUCCGGAGCUAACGCGUUA
RNAcentral lists this ribosomal RNA (333 nucleotides) under Enterobacter sp. RNAcentral's name for it is "bacterial SSU rRNA". It matches the Rfam family "Bacterial small subunit ribosomal RNA", at positions 530 to 862 of the family's 1533-position model. The record is from RNAcentral. Lineage: Bacteria; Pseudomonadati; Pseudomonadota; Gammaproteobacteria; Enterobacterales; Enterobacteriaceae.